AAAGAGGAUUCGUCCAAUUGAAGCAGAGGACAGUGGCGGACGGGUGAGUAACGCGUGAGGAACCUGCCUCAAAGAGGGGGACAACAGUUGGAAACGACUGCUAAUACCGCAUAAGCCCACGGUACCGCAUGGCACUGAGGGAAAAGGAUUUAUUCGCUUUAGGAUGGACUCGCGUCCAAUUAGCUAGUUGGUGAGGUAACGGCCCACCAAGGCGACGAUCAGUAGCCGGACUGAGAGGUUGAACGGCCACAUUGGGACUGAGAUACGGCCCAGACUCC
Molecule: ribosomal RNA, 278 nt
Filed under: uncultured Subdoligranulum sp.
Lineage: Bacteria; Bacillati; Bacillota; Clostridia; Eubacteriales; Oscillospiraceae
Description: partial 16S ribosomal RNA
Rfam family: Bacterial small subunit ribosomal RNA
Source: RNAcentral